GCCUGCCUCCCAAGGCCUGUGAAAACAGCACAUUAAAUGUGGCAGCUACUGUAAUUUCAUUACCGCAAGCUGGUACUUAAACUUGAUUGCCAAAUCUUUGUGCUACCCCUGUUGCAAACAAAACUGACAAUGUUUUACAUCUCAGGUGACUUCCUUUCCCUCUUGUUUCCUGGUAUUACUCCUGUGGCUGAGAGGGGAUGCUGGUUGCUAUUGCGUUAGGUACAGUGCUCAGCAAGUUAUGAAUUGUGCCAGUCCAAAUCUGUCAUAAAAUCCAUGUCAGCGCUGGGUUUAGUUGAGAGGAUUUACCCUUCUCAAGUUUUCUUUUCUGCUCAUUCCCUCUGGGGUUUACUUGACUGAUAAACAGCACUGUCAGCCCCACUCUCAGAGAUGUGUCAAGAGUGAGGUGGUGGAAUGAAUUCUUUGACCCCCUGGUUAAAAAGGGGUAGGAAAUGAAAGCCUGGGUCUCCUAUCACAUUGGUUUUUGCACAGAUGUAACUUCUUUGACUUGAGGGGCAUGACGCCUGAUUUACACAGGGGUGUGUGACAGGAGACUCAGGCCUUGUGCUUGGAAACCAUGUUUAAACUCAGUUUAAAGCCCUGUAGCCUAUUAGUCUGCAGGAAUGGGUUCUAGCCCUGUUAAAAGUUGGCACUAUGGACAGACUGUAACUGUGCCCCCAUAAUCAUCUAUAGAUUUUGGCAGCACAGGGUUUCAAAGGAGUUAGGUCAUCAUGAUUAGGGCCCUACCAAAUUCAUGGUCCAUUUUGGUCAAUUUCACAGCCAUAGGCUUUUAAAAAUCCUCAAUUUCAUGGUUUCAGAUAUUUACAUCUGAAAUGUACGGUGUUAUAACCAUGGGGGUCCUGACCAAAAGAGGGUUGUAGGGGGGUGGGGCACAAUAUUGCCACCCCUACGUCUGUGCUGCUGCUGAUGAUGAUGGCGGCACUGCCUUCCGAGCUGAGCAGCAGGCAGUGCAGAUUAGAGGGGUGCAUGGUAUGGGGAGGAUCACUUUUUGGGCAGGGGCAGGGACAGCUUUACAGGUGAGCAACUACCCAGGGUCCUGUGGUCUCCCCCUCUCCCCACCACAGCCGCCCAAGGCCUCUUCAACCCCCGAGCUGAGCGGGGUAGAAGUGUGGUGGGGGUGGCAGUACAGGGACUAGCCACAGAGAAUCUUGCAGCUGAGGGAGGUUCCCAGAGAGCAGCCCCUGUAGGAGAAGAUGAAGUCCCAUCCCUCCCAACCCUGCCAGGACUAGCAGCUGGAGCCCAGCACAUGGUAGGAGCCCUGGCUGGGGGACCCCCAGUCCUGCCUCUCCCCAGCCGAUUUCACAGUGGAGACCAGAUUUCACGGUCCGUGACACGUUUUUCACAGCCGUGAAUUUGGUAGGUCUCUAUUCAUGAUUAAGUCCCCUCUAUACGACCAUGUAUGUUGUAACCAGGUACCCAGACUCAAUUAUAGCUGCAGCAUAGCUGGUGCCGGUGAGCUAUUUCUAACAGGUUUGACUACUGCUGAGGCUAGCCCAGGUUUUGAAAACAUGAUUCUAACAGUCCAGCCCUACACACACUGAGUGGGCAAGCCAUGCUGUAACCCAGUUUAGCUGGAACUAUGUUUAAACACAACCUCCAGACGCAGCUCACAGCCCAGGCUUGACAGGGCCUGUGUUUCAUCCGCAGAGCUCACAAUGCUCCAGCCUCGCACUCUGGCCUGUGAACUUCAGCCGGCAUUGGGAGUCAGUGGAAUCUCAUGGAAAGAAAUUCGUCCCCCUGACUCUAAAUAGUGUCUCCUAUAGCUGCUAGAGUAAGGUAACCUGGGUAGUGCACCCAGGGAUGUUACCCACAGCCUGAUGGGCUUUCCUUUGCAUAAUUAAAUCUGAGAAGGGAGUGGGAGGGGUGCUUGGCAGACAGAGGGAGCUGUCAGCAUGUCCUGCCAGUGAAAAGAAGGGACUGAAAUGAAAAAGUUCCUUCUGGCAUGUGUAAUCAAAAACCAAUCACUGCUGUAUAUAACUCGCUGUUGUUUCUGUGCAAGUGUGAGCCAGGGGAGUGCAGGCUGCUUGGCUAAAGGACCAAGCCCCCGCCCCCAACUGUCUCACACUGGGAGGGAAGUGUGUGGAGGGGAGGAUUAAUCCACUGUCGCUGUGGAUUAAUACUGACAGGAGGGCUGGACUGCGACAAGAUAGAUGACAGGGUUACACGGCAAUGCGUGAGAACCCUGCCCCUUUCAAGCUAGCACUGUUUUCCUUGCGUGACUGCUUUCCUUCUCUCCUCCAGCCGCUUCCACCUUGUGACCGGCUCCCUUAACUCAUUCUUUUCCCUCCAUGGGUGAGAGUGUGCACGGAGACGGGAGGAGUCAGGGGGCAAAAGGGGAAACGUGGCCCAGGGUUUAGAAGUGGAACAAGAUGCGAGACGCCUGCUUUGUUCGGAGGGCAGCUUCUUUUACAAGAGUGGUUUGACAGGCAAUGUGUCAUGCCAUUCCGGUCUAGGCUGCAGUGAUGAUGCUAUCUGUUGCUACACCAGAAACCUUAGACACUACCUCACUAGUGACAAAUAAGAACAUCUCUGAACACUGGAAAACAUACUGGGACAGAGGUGCUGGUUCUAACAAGAAGUUAAUUCCACUGAAGCAAGUCCUAGUGAAUAGCUGUUGUUUUGAAUGGAAUCAGUACACAGUUGCUAUGGCCCUCUCUAUAUGAAGGAAAAGGAAGGGGGACAGUUUUCUGCCAUCAGUACAAAGAGACAGGAAUUUACAGGAUAAAAGUAUAUUAAUGUUACUGAAGGGA
This is a long non-coding RNA of Mauremys mutica (yellowpond turtle), 2768 nucleotides long. RefSeq lists it as uncharacterized. Lineage: Eukaryota; Metazoa; Chordata; Testudines; Geoemydidae. The transcript has 3 exons. The record is from RefSeq and is a predicted model, not a curated record.